UACGUAGGUGGCAAGCGUUGUCCGGAAUUAUUGGGCGUAAAGCGCGCGCAGGUGGUUUCUUAAGUCUGAUGUGAAAGCCCACGGCUCAACCGUGGAGGGUCAUUGGAAACUGGGGAACUUGAGUGCAGAAGAGGAAAGUGGAAUUCCAAGUGUAGCGGUGAAAUGCGUAGAGAUUUGGAGGAACACCAUUGGCGAAGGCGACUUUCUGGUCUGUAACUGACACUGAGGCGCGAAAGCGUGGGGAGCGAACAGG
Molecule: ribosomal RNA, 253 nt
Filed under: uncultured bacterium
Lineage: Bacteria
Description: partial 16S ribosomal RNA
Rfam family: Bacterial small subunit ribosomal RNA
Source: RNAcentral